AAAGGACUUUUCCAAGGCUUGUAAUGAGGUUGGGCUAACAAGAAAGAAUUGGUUUUUCUAGAAUGAAAAAUCCUUGAGUCAAGAGAGCUAACAAAAUAUUCAACAUUUAAGCACAACUCUCUCACCAAUAUCUCUCAUUCCUAACUUCUUCCCUUUUCUUUUCUUUUUCAUUGAGCUCAUCUUCAUGAUUUUCUUCUUUUCUUUUCUUUUUCUCAUGAUUUUUUCUCUUUUCACAACAAUUGAGCUUAAUGCCUUUCACUUGCUUUUUCAAUUUUCCCCCCUAGAACCCCAAACUUGAACCUUUUCAUCACACACAAUUAAGCUC
This 325-nucleotide long non-coding RNA is filed under the name Vigna radiata. Its description in RNAcentral is "long non-coding RNA (VRAD_LNC014884)". The record is from RNAcentral. Lineage: Eukaryota; Viridiplantae; Streptophyta; Magnoliopsida; Fabales; Fabaceae.